Molecule: ribosomal RNA, 253 nt
Filed under: uncultured bacterium
Lineage: Bacteria
Description: partial 16S ribosomal RNA
Rfam family: Bacterial small subunit ribosomal RNA
Source: RNAcentral
UACGGGGGGGGCGAGCGUUAUUCGGAAUUAUUGGGCGUAAAGGGCGCGUAGGCGGCCUGGUAAGUCAAAGGUGAAAUCCCUCGGCUCAACUGAGGAACUGCCUUUGAUACUGUCAGGCUUGAGGCCGGGAGGGGGUAGCGGAAUUCCCAGUGUAGCGGUGAAAUGCGUAGAUAUUGGGAGGAACACCAGUGGCGAAGGCGGCUACCUGGACCGGUUCUGACGCUGAGGCGCGAAAGCGUGGGGAGCAAACAGG